Zophobas morio is the source of this 524-nucleotide long non-coding RNA. RefSeq lists it as uncharacterized. The record is from RefSeq and is a predicted model, not a curated record. The transcript is spliced from 3 exons. Lineage: Eukaryota; Metazoa; Arthropoda; Insecta; Coleoptera; Tenebrionidae.
AAAGUAAGCGUUAUCUUUCAGAAGAAGCAAUAUUUGACUCUAAUGGGUUUCAAAAUAAAAGUUUUCUUGAAAGCAACCUCCCUUUCUCAAAAAAGCAAGAACUUACAAUAACUUUUAAUCAUUUUAAAAGAUGGUAUAAUAGUUUAGAGCCGACACUUCACCAAAGCUUAAAUGAACAAGACUUAUAUAUUCUUUCGCUGUUCGUUGCAACUCGUUUUAACCAGAUUCAAAAAUUACUUAUAAAGUUAGAGGAAGAACAGCACGAAAAAGAAAGGGACUUGUUUAAUAUAAGACAAAUACGAGUUGAUGAGAAUCGCCAACAAGUCGAAGAUCUGAAGGAAUCUAAUCCAAGUAUAACUGAGGAGGAACUUGAUAAAUUAAAAUCUUCUCUGGAUAGAGAGCUUUGUGAACUAGAUAAAACUAUUAUCUGUGAAUUGGACCAUAUUUGCUUAAACCAACUGAUAGCUUUAAGAGACGCUCAAGUACCGCUUUUUCGAGUGACUUACAGAGCCGAAGACUUGAAA